GGGGGCGCAUGUUCUAAGGGCAAGCGAUCCUCUCUCGCAAAGAGGAUGCUGUCGGUUCGAUUCCGACCGUCUCCA
Molecule: transfer RNA, 75 nt
Filed under: Armatimonadota bacterium
Lineage: Bacteria; Bacillati; Armatimonadota
Description: Armatimonadetes bacterium (rhizosphere metagenome) tRNA-Ala
Rfam family: tRNA
About the family: Transfer RNA (tRNA) molecules are approximately 80 nucleotides in length.
Source: RNAcentral